UUUUGAAAAGUCGCUAGCCAUCCAUCACAGCACUCCAGCUGUGCAUUGUGUUCAACUUAAAAAAGGAACGCAUGAAGAAUAGCUUUGUUUGCAUUCUGGUAACUGCUGAGGCUUUGGCUGACGACAGCUUUCAGCUGCACCUGAACUAGGCUGGAUUUGUCUCCUGCUCUCCAUAGGUGAGUGUUUCUCUUGCAGACCUUUGAAUCGAUGAUUCCCCUGCUAUUUGUCUCUUCUGGUUGCUGGAGAGAAGAGCUCCAAUGUCACAUCCUGAUCCGUAAGGUGAUCAAGCUUGGUGAUUGUCAGUAAUUCAGGAUAUGCUUGCUUUUCUUUAAGUGAACUAAGGGAUAAGCUAU
RNAcentral lists this long non-coding RNA (353 nucleotides) under Gallus gallus (chicken). Lineage: Eukaryota; Metazoa; Chordata; Aves; Galliformes; Phasianidae. The record is from RNAcentral.